UACGUAGGGGGCAAGCGUUGUCCGGAUUUAUUGGGCGUAAAGAGCGUGUAGGCGGCCGUGUAGGUCCGUUGUGAAAACUCGAGGUUCAACCUCGAGACGUCGAUGGAAACCACACGGCUAGAGUCCGGAAGAGGAGAGUGGAAUUCCUGGUGUAGCGGUGAAAUGCGCAGAUAUCAGGAGGAACACCGAUGGCGAAGGCAGGUCUCUGGGCCAUAACUGACGCUGAGAAGCGAAAGCAUGGGGAGCGAACAGG
RNAcentral lists this ribosomal RNA (253 nucleotides) under uncultured bacterium. RNAcentral's name for it is "partial 16S ribosomal RNA". It matches the Rfam family "Bacterial small subunit ribosomal RNA", at positions 524 to 776 of the family's 1533-position model. The record is from RNAcentral.